GUCGCCGUGACGUGUCGGGAAUUUCAAAUCGUUGAUAUAUGAAUAAACAAGACAACUGUCAUAAAAUGCAUAGGAUAAGAAUUCCAAUGAAAGAUGUUCUUUAGUGUACUUCGUUGUGUCCCGCUGUAUAAAAUCGUCGCUUCGACAUCGCUGGUCUUAGGCGCCAAAUCAACCGUUGUCGCAUAACGGAGAAAGAACUCACGGAUGUUACAUACUUUUAAUAUACAAAUACAAAUACACAAGUGUACAAGUGAAAUACCAAAUU
Ruditapes philippinarum (Manila clam) is the source of this 265-nucleotide long non-coding RNA. RefSeq lists it as uncharacterized. The record is from RefSeq and is a predicted model, not a curated record. NCBI's taxonomy places the organism in Eukaryota, Metazoa, Mollusca, Bivalvia, Venerida, Veneridae. The transcript is spliced from 3 exons.